UUGGGGCUUUUUGGGGUCAUUUUGAAGUAAAUUUGUGCCUUUUUGGGGGCAUUUUGGGGCGGAUUUGUGCCUUUUUGGGGUCAUUUUGGGGCAGAUUUGAGGUUUUUGGGGACAUUCUCACGCCUUUCUGGGGUCGUUUUGGGCCCUUUUGGGACUAUUUUGGGGUUUCUUGGGGUCAUUUCAGGGUAGAUUUGUGUCUUUUUGGGGUCAUUUUGGGGCAGAUUUGGGGUUUUUGGAGACUGCUUGAUGCCUUUUUGGGGUCAUUUUGGGGCUGAUUUGUGCCUUUUUGGGGUCAUUUUGGGGCAGAUUUGUGCCAUUUG
This 320-nucleotide long non-coding RNA is filed under the name Phasianus colchicus (ring-necked pheasant). Its description in RNAcentral is "lncRNA (ENSPCLG00000013616.1)". The record is from RNAcentral. Lineage: Eukaryota; Metazoa; Chordata; Aves; Galliformes; Phasianidae.